Tympanuchus pallidicinctus (lesser prairie-chicken) is the source of this 1403-nucleotide long non-coding RNA. RefSeq lists it as uncharacterized. The transcript has 2 exons. Lineage: Eukaryota; Metazoa; Chordata; Aves; Galliformes; Phasianidae. The record is from RefSeq and is a predicted model, not a curated record.
ACGAGUAACGUGCGGCUCACCUCUGCGCGGCGCCGGGUCGAACUGCAAACUGAAAAGCAUCUGCAUUAAUGCCAGCAUUCCAGUCACACGCAGGGACAAACAGAGACUAAGAAGAAACCACACACAUCCCUUUACCUUGUAAAGAGGCCAAGUCUGCAUCUCAGGCACCACAACUCCACUACCAACAGCUUAAACACAGCCUUGGCUGCUUACCUCCAUUACCAACUGAUGAGCUCUUGAAACCAAUGUAAGGCCAUUAGCAUGGUUAAAGGUUUCUGAAAUAUCCUGUCCAAAUGUAUAACCUGCACCUCGAGGAGAAAUUCCCCAGCCACCACGAUCAUCUGGAUCUGACCAUAGCAAGUCACACAUUGGACCCUGUAAGAGAUUUGGAAAGUAUUUCAUGAACUGAACCAAAAAAAGAAAAAAAAAAAAAAAGCAAGAACAAAAGCCACAACGUCCACCCUCAUGAACCUGCACAGCUUACUGCAGCAUCUCUGUAAGGCUUGGAAAGAAAAUGUAAGCAAAACCCCACCUAUCAGCUACAAUAGUUAGUGUAGUUAAAGCUUGAAAUACUCACAAGAAAAUUAAUUUUAAUGGAAAAAAAUUUCACAGAAGCAGUUCUCACCUCUGAGAUAUUAAAAUCUGCUUUGUAACAUCAGGCAAGAAUGUGUCCCUUAAUUUUCCUGCAGAAGACUAGUAGGCAAGACAGGUAUUUUCAAAUUGCUACAUCGUUUUGAACCUGAUUUUCUGCCUUUGUAUAUAUUAAAAUGCCCAGCAUAUGCUGAAUCAUGAAUUGCACUGUGAGUUAAGAUAAUUAAUCUUCAAUAUACCUCAUGGGGAACUUCCUGCAAGCGAUCCAGUGCUCUGAUGUGAUCCAGCGUAUCUAUUGAUGGAGAGAGGCCACCAUGUAGACAGAAAAUCUGAAACAGACAUCAUGAAAUCUCAGUUGUUUAUUAUAACUGUUUAGUAUAAACAAUUAAGAAAAAUUUCCAGGAGGUUAUUUCCAAGCUGCAAGCUCACUGAAUACAGUGUUAACAGCUCCCUUCACAACCAGCAACAUUUAACUUUGUCCAAGUUCAACCUACCUGGCCAUCCACCAAGGCAGUUAGAGGAAGGUAAUCAAAAAGGUCUGUAAAGUACUUCCAAACAUUUGCAUUCCCAUAUUUUCUUAAACAUUCGUCAUAGAAACCAUAUACUUGUGUGAUCUGCCUGCUUUCAUGGUUCCCUCGAAGAAUUGUGAUACGUUCACGGUAACGGACCUGAACACAAUAGUGGAACACAUGUUAGGGGCACGACAACAUGCACUGCCCAAAACCACCAUUUGCUUCUCUUCCCCUCCCCAUAAUGUGCCAAGUAAGCAAUAAGAACAACUUGAAUUACAACCUUAAAGGAAAAAAAAACAA